GACGAACGCUGGCGGCGUGCCUAAUACAUGCGAGUAGAGCGCACAGUUUAUACCGUAGCUUGCUACACCAUAGACUGUGAGUUGCGAACGGGUGAGUAACGCGUAGGUAACCUGCCUGGUAGCGGGGGAUAACUAUUGGAAACGAUAGCUAAUACCGCAUAAUAUUAAUUAUUGCAUGAUAAUUAAUUGAAAGGUGCAAUUGCACCACUACCAGAUGGACCUGCGUUGUAUUAGCUAGUAGGUGAGGUAACGGCUCACCUAGGCGACGAUACAUAGCCGACCUGAGAGGGUGAUCGGCCACACUGGGACUGAGACACGGCCCAGACUCCUACGGGAGGCAGCAGUAGGGAAUCUUCGGCAAUGGACGAAAGUCUGACCGAGCAACGCCGCGUGAGUGAAGAAGGGUUUCGGAUCGUAAAGCUCUGUUGUAAGAGAAGAACGGGUGUGGGAGUGGAAAGUUCACACUGUGACGGUAUCUUACCAGAAAGGGACGGCUAACUACGUG
This 505-nucleotide ribosomal RNA is filed under the name uncultured bacterium. Its description in RNAcentral is "partial 16S ribosomal RNA". It matches the Rfam family "Bacterial small subunit ribosomal RNA", at positions 28 to 507 of the family's 1533-position model. The record is from RNAcentral.